This 1189-nucleotide long non-coding RNA is filed under the name Zostera marina. RNAcentral's name for it is "long non-coding RNA (ZMAR_LNC002608)". The record is from RNAcentral. Lineage: Eukaryota; Viridiplantae; Streptophyta; Magnoliopsida; Alismatales; Zosteraceae.
CCCCCACGCGCUUUCACUCCCCCGACGAUUUUCUCCAGUCUCUGCGUCUCCCGUCUCUGUCUGUCCACGUCGUCUCCGCGUCUCCCGUCUCUGUCUGUCCACGUCGUCUUCGUGUCCACGUCUCCACGUCUCCGUCUUCUCGACUUCAUCGAUUUUCGUGUUCUCCACCUCUCCGCGUUUCCGUUGUCCGUUGUUCGAUAGUCCGCGCCGUUCUCAUUCUCUUCCGCUAUAAAGUUUGUUGUUUUCUUCCCCAUCUUUCUCCCCACGGUCACUUCCUCCACUCUCGUUCUCUUCCGUUUUUUUCGUUUUUUUUUCAUCGAUUUAGAUGACGCAUCGAUCGAUAUAAAGUACAACUUUUAGAAAGAGUAAGGUAGAUAGAAGUAGGUAGGUAGAAAAGGUCAUAGGUAGGUAAAAAAAGUGAUGAGUGGUACUUUUUGUUUAUGAAGAUGUGUGUAAAAAAAUGAUUAAAAAACUAUAAAAAAAAUGACAGCUAAGAUUAACUAUGAUAAGAUUCAACAGCUCAGCAAAGGUGAGCGUUUUUUAACACACUCUAUGCUGAGUGCACCUGAAAAAAGUUGUAUACAUUUUAGUAUAACAAAAUUCUGUUAUAUUUUACACUACAAUUGGAAAACGAUGUUUUAUAAUUUUUAGGAACUAAUUCUUUGCUUUCAAUAACCUCAGUAAUGAAACCUUUACGAAGUUCCACAUCAUAAAUAUUAUAUUUAGACGGAAGAUUACUUGUCCUGAAACUUCUUCUUAGUUUUGUGUGAUUUUGGAAUUCUUCUACUGUGUUGGGUUCAACCGUAGAAGGAAUUGAGGGGAGAGAAGUUAAAUGAUCUGUAUAUCCAGAAUUUUAAUCAGGAACAGAACUAACUAUUCCACACACUGAAGAUUUUUCAGCAUUCGUGCCAUGAGUUCAAGGUUUUGAAGAGAUAGAAUCAGAUGUUAAAGAUUUUCCUGAAUCCAAGUCAUCAGAUAAUGAUUCUGCAUGGACUUAAGUCAGAAGUUGAUGAUUUUCUCUGAUUUGAAUCAGAUGAUGAUCCUAAGACUGUUGAUAUCAAAUUUUCAGAAUGAUGAACAGUAGUAUCUGGAUUUAAAUCUCUAAGAACUGAGUCAGAAGUAACUGGUUUAUAUUCAGUUUCAUUUUUUUUUAACAGGUAGAACUAGUUCUUUCCUUGUUUCAGGACUU